RNAcentral lists this ribosomal RNA (495 nucleotides) under uncultured bacterium. RNAcentral's name for it is "partial 16S ribosomal RNA". It matches the Rfam family "Bacterial small subunit ribosomal RNA", at positions 28 to 507 of the family's 1533-position model. The record is from RNAcentral.
GACGAACGCUGGCGGCGUGCCUAAUACAUGCAAGUAGAACGCUGAAGGAGGAGCUUGCUUCUCUGGAUGAGUUGCGAACGGGUGAGUAACGCGUAGGUAACCUGCCUGGUAGCGGGGGAUAACUAUUGGAAACGAUAGCUAAUACCGCAUAAUAGUAGAUGUUGCAUGACAUUUGCUUAAAAGGUGCAAUUGCAUCACUACCAGAUGGACCUGCGUUGUACUAGCUAGUUGGUGGGGUAACGGCUCACCAAGGCGACGAUACAUAGCCGACCUGAGAGGGUGAUCGGCCACACUGGGACUGAGACACGGCCCAGACUCCUACGGGAGGCAGCAGUAGGGAAUCUUCGGCAAUGGACGGAAGUCUGACCGAGCAACGCCGCGUGAGUGAAGAAGGUUUUCGGAUCGUAAAGCUCUGUUGUAAGAGAAGAACGAGUGUGAGAGUGGAAAGUUCACACUGUGACGGUAGCUUACCAGAAAGGGACGGCUAACUACGUG